GCGAGCGUGGUGGAAUUGGCAGACACGCUAGACUUAGGAUCUAGUACCGCAAGGUGUGGGGGUUCAAGUCCCUUCGCUCGCA
This 82-nucleotide transfer RNA is filed under the name Spirochaetes bacterium GWB1_27_13. RNAcentral's name for it is "tRNA-Leu". It matches the Rfam family "tRNA". Rfam says of the family: Transfer RNA (tRNA) molecules are approximately 80 nucleotides in length. Their secondary structure includes four short double-helical elements and three loops (D, anti-codon, and T loops). Lineage: Bacteria; Pseudomonadati; Spirochaetota. RNAcentral also lists the same sequence under 2 other names. The record is from RNAcentral.